CUAACAAAAAUGUUCCAGCAAAAAUUCUUCCUCUUUGUCGUCGUCUUUGCUGUGAUGGCUAUUAUGUUCGCAACCGGUGCUCCCACUGACGCCGAAGAUCCAUCUGAGAACGACGAAACUUUCUGUCGUCCAUUCUCUUCGUGCUCGAGCAGCACAGAUUGUACCAGCUAUUCCAUCUACAAGACCUGUCGCACUCGUUUUUUUGGCAACAAGCAAUGCUGUCUGUUUUAAACGCCACAAUUGAACUGAUUAACCCGAGUGCUGGGUCACGUCCUAGGAAAACAAAAUCAGUUGCAU
Daphnia carinata is the source of this 297-nucleotide long non-coding RNA. RefSeq lists it as uncharacterized. The transcript has 3 exons. The record is from RefSeq and is a predicted model, not a curated record. Lineage: Eukaryota; Metazoa; Arthropoda; Branchiopoda; Diplostraca; Daphniidae.